GACGAACGCUGGCGGCGUGCCUAAUACAUGCAAGUAGAACGCACAGUUUAUACCGUAGCUUGCUACACCAUAGACUGUGAGUUGCGAACGGGUGAGUAACGCGUAGGUAACCUGCCUGGUAGCGGGGGAUAACUAUUGGAAACGAUAGCUAAUACCGCAUAAUAUUAAUUAUUGCAUGAUAAUUAAUUGAAAGGUGCAAUUGCACCACUACCAGAUGGACCUGCGUUGUAUUAGCUAGUAGGUGAGGUAACGGCUCACCUAGGCGACGAUACAUAGCCGACCUGAGAGGGUGAUCGGCCACACUGGGACUGAGACACGGCCCAGACUCCUACGGGAGGCAGCAGUAGGGAAUCUUCGGCAUGGACGAAAGUCUGGCCGAGCAACGCCGCGUGAGUGAAGAAGGUUUUCGGAUCGUAAAGCUCUGUUGUAAGAGAAGAACGGGUGUGAGAGUGGAAAGUUCACACUGUGACGGUAUCUUACCAGAAAGGGACGGCUAACUACGUG
This 504-nucleotide ribosomal RNA is filed under the name uncultured bacterium. Its description in RNAcentral is "partial 16S ribosomal RNA". It matches the Rfam family "Bacterial small subunit ribosomal RNA", at positions 28 to 507 of the family's 1533-position model. The record is from RNAcentral.